UGGUUCUGCACGCAGCAGCAAAUUUCUGUGAUAUUGUGCCCCUUUCCUGCAAGUUCUCUGACUGUUUUGCUGUUAGAUUCAGAUGCAUCGUAUGUUCAGGUUGUAUUAAUUCCUAAACAUCUCCCUUUCUAUAACAUGGUGAGACUCUAUGAGGGAUCAACAGCAUUUUCUAUCUACUGGGGGAUAUAUUUGGAAAAGAGCUAAAUGAUGUAGUAGGUAAUUCAAGGGCAGUGAACCUAUAGCAAGAAGAGCUUUCAUCCUCACCAGGAUUCAGUGAGAUUUACAGCUAUCUAUUUCCAAAUCGGACAUCAGUUAGUUUUUUUCCAUGACACAUGGAUGUUGUGUUGGUGCUCAUGUUAGUUUUUUGUCUGGUUAGCAUCAUACAUAUCUCCAGAGGUUGAUUUAAAGUGUUUAAAUCAAUCUUCUGCUAAGAAUCACUGAAGCUUGGAGCUACAAGAACAAGUGGCAAACUGCACGGAAGCAGAAAUGUUCUUGAGAGAUUGUCAACAGCCCAGAGAACUGAACCCAUAUCUAACACACAGAAGCCAAUGAGUUCCUGUGCAUACGAAGAGCAGUCAAGAGGCAGUAUAAAAAUAAACAAGCAGUCCUUCACCUCACCUCCACCUCAGAUUUUUGAAACCAGACUGCUACUACAAUAGGCAUAUUCUAACCUUGCCUCCUGGGAAAAAAAUAAAAUGACACACUCUGAAAUUUUCACCUGCUUCUUUUCCAUGUAACCUGAUAUUUUCACCCAUCCUUCUUGACAAAUUUCUGCCUGUUGUUGACAAUUGGGAUAAUACCAGACUGACAAUUUUCUGACCACAACAUUUGACAAGACAGGAAACUCAUCAGAGUUAAGUCUUUUUUUCUCCUGGAUGUUUUUACUGUGAGGUCAAAGUAAUGAUGUUAGGGAUGUUAUCCACUUAAAGGUUUAUACGAACAAAAGCUUAUAAAUGAAGGUCAUUGUGCUUUUCUUUCCCACACUAAUGGCAAGCAAUAAUUAAGUCAGGUUGGGGUUUCUUUCUCCUCUUUAAGAAUUCAAGAGUUUUUUCUUUAUUUACUUCACAGUUUUGCCUAUGUUUUCCUUUUUUGAUGUAAGGCCCUUUUUAUCUAUUAAGAACAUUUUAAUGAUUCCACACAGGACAAAUCUGCAUUUUUCAAAGGCAGUUGAAUAACAAUAUCAUUUAGCUUGAGUACUACUGCAUCACACAAAAUGCAGCUGGGAAAUAGAGAUAACAUAAACAGCAAUCUGUCAAAUGCACAAGGCUUUGAGUAUCAGCUAGUCUUAGGAAUUGUGAAAGGUAGGCAGAAAUACAAUACGGAUUAGGAAAAAUGAUGAAAACUCAAGAACUGCCAGAAAAUUUCCUCUUCUUUUUACAUCAUAAAAAUAAAACUAUGCAAAAUUGGCCUUCAAUCCCACAGAUUAUUAUUUACUUUCUAUGUUCAAACUUUGAAAUGAACUUUCUCACUGUGAGCUUACUUCAUUAUGUUGUCAGUUCAGUAAUUGUGCAUUUCAUGUUUUAAUUGACCCAAAUUAUAUUUCACGUAUCACAACUUUAAAGCAUUUUAUGGGUGCUGUUCUUUUUCAUUAGAUCCUUGGCACUGUUACAAACAGUAAGGAAAAAAAAAGUAUAAAACGUAUUUAAGGUUGAUAAUUUACUAUAACGUUCUAUCAUUUAAGUGCUGAAGUAGUUAAAAGGAAGGAUAUGUAUAGUCAAAGACCUCAUACAUUUUAUGUUGCCUUCAUAAUAAACACAAAUACAUUUUAGUUCUGACUCAUCAUUGGUCACAAACAAAACAUGAACAGAUGAAGCUACACUUCAGAUAAUAUAAAUUGACAUAGCUGCUUAAAUGCUGGUUGAGCAACAAUGAUUUGUACCAUCUGUGCUUACAGCCCAUUACAAGCUGAUUUCAAUACCAGUACUCCAGCCUGCAGACAAGAGACUAUCAGGGAGUAAGAGUUAAAGAAACAAGGUUACUUAAAGGGUGAAAGCCCUUAGAAUGUCAUGGAGCCAACAGUGCACAGCAAGCUACGCUACAGCAGAAGGACCUGAAGUCCUAACUUCUUAACUAUGCUGUAUCACACACAGCUUUACUUUUGGGCAAAUGAAAACAGUCAUCUGAAGCACCUCUGGCCAAGGAGGAAGGUGGAACCAGAGACCCUUCAGCCAGUGGGAUUGUGCUUUGUGCAGCACCAGAGCCACAAUGGCACAGUCCGCUUGACCGUGGGGCAGAGCUCUCUGAGGGCAGUCUUGGCUUGUGCCCAUCUCUUUCACAGGCUCGGGCUCAGAGACGGGACUCAGGACUGCCACAGGGCCAGGGACGUUGGGGCACGAAUCCAUCCCUUCCCUCCCCGCCUCGGCGAUGGAGCGGAGACCGCUGCUGCCCGGUCCGCAGGGCACGCGACUGUAUACAGAGAGGGACGGAACGGUACGACGCGGAUA
Tympanuchus pallidicinctus (lesser prairie-chicken) is the source of this 2444-nucleotide long non-coding RNA. RefSeq lists it as uncharacterized. The record is from RefSeq and is a predicted model, not a curated record. The transcript is spliced from 3 exons. NCBI's taxonomy places the organism in Eukaryota, Metazoa, Chordata, Aves, Galliformes, Phasianidae.